This 398-nucleotide ribosomal RNA is filed under the name uncultured Halteriidae. RNAcentral's name for it is "partial small subunit ribosomal RNA". It matches the Rfam family "Eukaryotic small subunit ribosomal RNA", at positions 30 to 432 of the family's 1831-position model. Lineage: Eukaryota; Ciliophora; Spirotrichea; Sporadotrichida; Halteriidae. The record is from RNAcentral.
GCUUGUCUCAAAGAUUAAGCCAUGCAUGUCUUAGUGUAAAUAACUCUUAUGAAACUGCGAAUGGCUCAUUAAAACAGUUAUAGUUUAUUUGAUAAUCGAAUUUUACAUGGAUAACCGUGGUAAUUCUAGAGCUAAUACAUGCUGUUUAGCCUGACUUCUAGGAAGGGCUGUAUUUAUUAGAUAACAAACCAAUAUUCCUCGUGUCUAUUGUGAUGACUCAUAAUAACUGAUCGAAUCGCAUGGGCUUUGCCCGCGAUACAUCAUUCAAGUUUCUGCCCCAUCAGCUUUCGAUGGUAGUGUAUUGGACUACCAUGGCUUUAACGGGUAACGGAGGAUUAGGGUUCGAUUCCGGAGAGGGAGCCUGAGAAACGGCUACCACAUCUAAGGAAGGCAGCAGG